Molecule: ribosomal RNA, 305 nt
Filed under: uncultured bacterium
Lineage: Bacteria
Description: bacterial SSU rRNA
Rfam family: Bacterial small subunit ribosomal RNA
Source: RNAcentral
AUUCCUACGGGAGGCAGCAGUGGGGAAUAUUGCACAAUGGGGGGAACCCUGAUGCAGCGACGCCGCGUGAGUGAAGAAGUAUUUCGGUAUGUAAAGCUCUAUCAGCAGGGAAGAAGAUGACGGUACCUGACUAAGAAGCCCCGGCUAACUACGUGCCAGCAGCCGCGGUAAUACGUAGGGGGCAAGCGUUAUCCGGAUUUAUUGGGUUUAAAGGGUGCGCAGGCGGCACGGCAAGCCGGCGGUCAAAUCGCGGGGCUCAACCCCGCCCAGCCGUCGGAACUGCCGGGCUAGAGUGGGCGAGAAGG